Molecule: unclassified non-coding RNA, 88 nt
Filed under: Pseudomonas granadensis
Lineage: Bacteria; Pseudomonadati; Pseudomonadota; Gammaproteobacteria; Pseudomonadales; Pseudomonadaceae
Source: RNAcentral
GUGAGAGCUAGCCUGCUAGCGAUUGCGAACUGUCAGCCAAUCUAUUUGUCGACUGGCACACCGCAAUCGCUAGCAGGCUAGCUCCCAC